GCUCGCCUGAGGGAUCCCUCUGAAACUGUAGGCCAUCCCCAACCCAGAUCCCACCUUCUCUCUCUCUCAUCCCUAUCUACAUUACGCGGCGCAGAUCUGCCGAAACCCUAAGACUUCCAGUUCAAAUCUUUGACUCUGAGCAAAGAAGAAACUGAGCUCAAAGCCAUGGACUUUUUUUUUUUUUUUGUGUUUUUGUAUUUUUUUUUAAUAUUGAAGUGGGCUCAUAUUGACACAUGGCGCUCAGUUAUUGUCCACGUGAGUGCCAUGUCAUUACUUAACAGAAGUUCUAACAGAAAACUUAAUAGAUGUAUGAAACUGUCCCAAAAUUAAGACUUGAGGUAUGACUUUGGGAUGAAAAAAACUUUAUGUACCAAAUGUUGAAAACCACGAAACUUCAGGUUAGUAAAUAGAGAUUAACCCAUGUUUAAUUAUCUCACACAAUAACAAGAUAACAUUGUGAAAACAAAUGGGAGAUCACAAAACUCAAACGUGGAAGAAAAAAAAUCCAAAAACUGGUAACAAACCAGAAACUACUUCCUAAAAAUGGGGUCACUUAAAAAGUAAUAUCCACCUAAAAGGACAUAUUCAAAAUUCAGUAAUUAGACCAUUCUUGUAGAUGUAACAUCACACGUCGUCCAGGGAAGUGGAUCCUCUAAACCUUAUAUGUAUAUUUUCAUCUUUACCUAGCACGAGGUUUUUUGGAAGUUCACUGGCUUCAGGUUCCAUCGGAACUCCGAAGUUAAGCGAGUCCGUGCGAAAGCAAUCCCAAGAUGGGUGACCCACUGGGAAGUUCUCGUGUGAGUUCCCAUAAACAAAAUCGUGAGGGCGUGGUCGGGGCCUAAAGUGGACAAUAUCGUGUUACGGCGGAGUCGAGCCCAGGAUGUGGUAGGGGCCUGGGCCGGGAUGCGACAAUUUGGUAUCAGAAUCAAUCACGAAUAAAACAAUGUGUUCAUACACACAAGUGAGUAGGCAAAUGAUGGUAUUAAAUAUAAAAGUUAGGUGAUGAACCUACCAAUCACGAAUAAAACAAUUUAAUUUCAAUAUAUUAAGAGGUAUUCAUCAAUUCCCCCCUGAACUUGUGACUAUUGGCCAAUUUCCCCCCUCAACUUUAAUUUUGGCCAAUUUCCCCCCUCAACUCUCAUAAUUAGUCAAUUUCCCCCCUCAACUUUAAUUUGGCCAAUUUCCCCCCUCAACUCUCAUAAUUAGUCAAUUUGCACCCUACUAUUAAUUUUUUAAUUUGAUCAUAAUUAAACAAGUGUGUGUAAGAAACUAAAUAAGAUGUAUGUUAAUCAUUUUCCUAUGUCUUUAUCCUAUUACAAAUAGAUUAAAAUUUAGAAUUUUACAAUUUAUCAUAGAUAGUAUUAUUAGUCAUAAUAAAUCAGUAUGGAGUAAUUUUAUUUGAUUUUUUACUAUACAAAAUUGAUAACGAAAAUGAUUGACAUUUUUGUAUGUGAAUACAAUUUUCUUUAUAAAAGUGAAAGCUAAGUUCAAGUAAAUUGCGGAGAAUCGAGGUUUAGUGCAAAAAUGGCUAGUCAAUUCAUAAUUUUCAACUCCUUAUUAAGAAUAACUCAUUUUAUUGAAAUAGGUCUGAUCCAUGAGUUUAGGGUUAUUAUUUCUUCUUCUACAUGCUUUAAACCCGAUUCAUAACUUUUUCUUAUAAUCAACCCAUAUCACAUACUAAUUAUAUUAUGUUUUUGUACAUUUUACCUAUAUUAUGCAGGUGAGUUUAUGUUAAUUUUAGUACUUUGUUGGAAGUUAUUAGAAAGAUUGAAAGAAAAAAAAAUAGAUGGAAAAUUAAAAAAAAUUAACAAUAGGGUGCAAAUUGACUAAUUAUGAGAGUUGAGGGGAGAAAUUGGCCAAAAUUAAAGUUGAGAGGGGAAAUUGGCCAAUAGUCACAAGUUCAAGGGGGGAAUUGAUGAAUACCUCUAAUAUUAAAUAUAAAAGUUGAUCUUCAAUAUAGGGCAUUCACACUCCUUUUACAAUAAAUAAAAAAUUUAAUUUCAAUGAUUGGCUCUAAACCAUGAAAAAUAAAUAAAUAAAUAAACAUGAAAACCACAUGUCUACUUUCAUAAAUUGUAGUGGAAGAAAUUAAUUUCAAGUGAAAAUUGAAGGGUCGCCACCACAAGAAUCGUUUUCCAUAAAUAGUAAUGAAACCAAAGAAAAAGAAAACACAAAAACUAAACUGUCAUACACAUCAACGUAACGUGUACGGAGUACCACCUGCCCACUACCUAUAUACGAUGACUCGAUUUUCUCCUCCCUCCCUCCCUCACCCCCUUUGUAUUUUGCCUGUCUCCGAGGAAACCAGAAAAACAAUGGCUUUCUGCAGGAGGAAGGACGGAUGAGUAUAUGAGAAGAAGUGGGAAUACAGUAUGCGAACGCUUUGUGAUGUGUGCGAGAGCGCCGCUGCCAUCCUCUUCUGUGCCGCCGACGAGGCCGCCCUUUGCCGUUCCUGUGACGAAAAGGUUCUUCAUUUCUUCUUUCCCUUUGCUUUUAUUUAUGCAAACAUUGACUUUUAGUUAUAUGAUCCUUCCAAUGAUUUUAGCACGAACAUUUGCAAGUUUUUGGGAAAUUGAAUUUUGUGGGUCUGUUUUCUGAUUGUUAGUCUUGAUUUUGGUUAUUGCAAGCUAAUUCACUGGUGGUUUUUUUUUUUAGUACAAACAAUACUCUACAUUAAGGGGGAGCGGGGGGGGGGAUUAAGCAUGAUUGCUUACUGCUUGAACUUGUUUGGCGAGUAUACGAGGUUUUGUAUCAAACUAUGAGUACCCAGAUGAUGUGGAAGUCAUACUAUACAAUUUGGAAUUGUGAAAGUGAGAUUGGUAAAUUUAAUCAACAGUUCACAUUAGUGAUGAAUUUUGAGAUGUUUGGUUAGAGAAGUGAUUGGCGAUGGGUUGCUAUCUGAAUGUAGCGUGGUUCGAAAAUCAUGCGUUAUACACAAGUCUGACGUUUGCUUCGUAAUUUUGAAGUCUUUCUGCCAUUUAUGUGUAUGGAAAUCAUGACUACCGAAGAUGUUUGAAUUCUUAGUCUUUUCUUUGCUUUGCAUAGCUCUCCUUUCAAAUUGUAGUAGAAGCAUGAUUUUGUUCUUCUGUGUUGGAAUUGCAGGUCCAUCUGUGUAAUAGACUUGCCAAUAGACAUGUACGGGUUGGGCUAGCCACACCCAGUGACAUUCCUUGCUGUGAUAUUUGCGAAAAUGCACCUGGUAUGCUAGACUUCAAUGUUUUAAACUUUUAGUUUUUGUGAGCUAUGUUAAACUUAUGUAGAAGAAUUUUCAAGACUUAUUUCCCUUGGAAAACAUACAUGUAGCGUUCUUUUACUGUGAGGUAGAUGGUAGUUCUCUUUGCCUGCAGUGUGAUAUGAUUGUACAUGUCGGUGGGAAAAGAACCCAUGGGAGGUAUCUCCUCUUCAGGCAGAGAGUUGAGGUUUGUGUCUCUCUACUGGAGGGUUUGGGUUAAGGUUAUGUAUAUAGGCCUCCAGGGCUUAAUUUCUUUUCUCUCUUGGGGCGUUUCUCUAUAGUUUCCAGGGAAUAAGCUUGGCCGUUCAGAGGAACUAGGACUUCAACCACUUGACCAAAAGAAGGUACGAAGGGACGAAAAUCAGCUGCCCGAUGUAAAACCAAAAGAGAAUGAACAUAAUCACAAUAUCUCUCCAACUGCAGUCCUAGAAAACAAUAUUGACGGUGACUACAAGAUAGACAAUACAUUGAUUGAUCUUAAUACCAGGCCCCAAAGAAUACGCAGGCAAGCUUCAAAACCAGGUAAAAAUAUAUUUCCUCAUGUUGAUUUUACUAUCUGGUUGGGUUCUUUAAUAAGGCAUUCUUGUCUUCUUAUUAACAAGGGAUUCUUUGUCUUCUAAACGUGCAAAUUAUUGACAUGCAGUUUGAAAGUUGUGAACUCUAGUUCUCUCCCUUUUAUUCUUCUCAAAAAAAAAUUAUUUGUACAUUAUAAGCAUUUUGAGUAAUCAAAACAACAUUUAUCUUGCCUUCAUAUUUAGGAACAAGGUGUGGGUGUUCUAUAUGGCUUGAAUGACGAAUCUGUAAGUGUCGUUCCAGUUGGAUCCUUCAAAAAAUAGCCUGAAAAGUGAGAAAGGUACAAUUUGCGUAUCAUAUUAUCCUCAUCCAUUUUUUUUAUGUUUUCAAGAUUUUCUUGUACGAAGUUAAAUUGCUGCUUAUAGCUCAGGAAAAAUCUCUAGCAUUGACUUUGAUGUGUUUAAAUUCAGAAAUGAAAAGGAUUGUUCAAAUCAAUGGUUUGCAUGCACAUGCUUAUGUAAAAUACAUGGGAAUCUGCAUUGGAUUUUUUCUUUCAAAAUGCUAGAAAAUGAGUGAAACUUUUCUCAUAUUGGGUCACUAACAAGGAGGGAUAUUUUGAUACCAGUCCCAAAGAACGUAUUUGGUUUUGAGCAACUUUAAUUGCUAGCAGAAAACGAUACAAUUAAGGCUUACAAAGCCGCAAUUUCUUCUUGGUAAUCUAUUUCUUUCCCCAAGAACUUGGAUGGUAAGUUUGAACUGAGACGGAUGGUUGACAUUACAAAGAAAUUGCACCUGUUGUGCAUUUGUGGGAAGGGCAUCUUCUCCCUCCACUUUGCUUAUUAGCCUUACUAUCUUUAAAGGUUUGCUAGAAAUAAAGAGGUGGAGAUUAUAUUGGCUUCCCAUUAUACUGUGUACUCGAUCGAAGAAAAGAUAAGUCGGGAGAAAGUUAAUAACUCUGUUUAUCAAAUAACACAUAGAUGCUGAUAUUUUUCGGUUCUUGUUUUGAAAUGGGUCGAGUGUAGAUAUAAACAACUUGUUUAAGAUCCCCAACUAUUUGUAUUUCUGUUUUCUGUCUGAUCACGUUUUUUAUCUAAUGAGAUUAUCUCUGUUCUUUGUCAUCGUCGUCCAAUAAAUUUGCAAACCCUUCUCUUCCUCUACAUUGUGGCUGCAGAUGUUGUGGACAAACUACCGUUGCACAAUCUUGGUUGACGACUUACGCACUUGUAUUCUAAUUUGUACCUUUCUUCUGUUUUCUUUGGAUCAGCAUCAGUCUGUCACGUUACUCAUGCAAAGUAGAUUAGAUGAAAACUCUUUUGAGUUUGUAUUAUCACAAGCAAUGUGUUUAGCUUGAAAGAGAGAUAAGUGAGAGUCAUUAGUACAGUUUGUUCAAAGUUAAGUUAUCGAAGUACAAUGCCGCUGUUGACAUUCCUCUUACUUGCACUUCGAUGACAUUUUUAUCAAAUCUUAGAAAGGAAAUGUGAACUAGUUUCAAUUGAAGUUGAAUGCUUCCCCAAAAACUCAUGUGAUUUGGCUUUUAAAUGAGAACUUAAUCAGGAUUACUUAUAUAGUUUCUGUGUAUGCACAAAGGCGAUCCAAGGAGGGAGAAAACUUUUCCUAUACCCGUUGCAUGAAAUGGGAGUCUAAUGUUCUCUGCAUCAUGUGCUACUCAUAUAACCAUGAAUGUGGAACACCUGUUUCGUACAACAUUUUCAAGAAACAGUAGUUGAAGACAUCCCUGAGAAACGCAUGGUGGGGAUGUGUUAAUGUAGUCUACUGAUUCGAACUUGGUCAUCUUGAUAGAUUUUGAUGUAGUCUAAUGAUUCGAACCAUGUUAUCAGACUGAGAGAAAUCACUGAAACAUUUCCAAGUUUUUUCCAGACGAGCUAUGUGCCGCGAAGGAUCAAGCUGAUGGAUUUCUGAAAAAUUAUGCCUGAAAGUAGCAAAAUUUUUGGGGUUCAGGUUAACUUAUCAACCGAAGACGCAAACUUCAAGCAUGAAAAUAUCCGAUUGAAUAACUACCGGCUAACUAACUCAUCAUCAAGAAGCUUAUUAAGUUGCUAAAAAGCACAUAAAAUGUUCAUCAACAAAAAUAGUCUUUCAUGGCUAUAAAGCAUUACACACAUAAGAGAUCCAUGUCUCCUUCCUCCAUUAACAUCAACAUCACCAUCUGCUAUUUGUUCUUCAUCAUCUACAUCGUCGGUACAAAUUACUUAGUACACGUAGCCCUUGACGAACAAUUCCUUCUUUGCCUCCUCAGACUCUCCUUCUCCGGUGUACUUGCCAAGUUGUGCGAGUGAGUUGGCCUUGGCACGGAUGAGCAGAGUAUCCUGAGCUGCCUUCACGUUCUCGGGUCUGCCUCCCCAUGUCUUCAAACAGGUGUUUUGGAGAGCUCUGGCAUAGGAGAACGACACGUGCCAUGGGUUUGGCGAUUGGUUCAUCGCAUUCAAGUUCAGGGUUGCCUCGACCUCAGAUUGUCCACCAGACAAAAACUGCGCAACAAACACAAUUUCAUCAUCGGUACAUGAUAUAUUCUCAUCACAAAAGAAAACAAUUAGUAUCAAGUUUUUCGAACACUUGCCAUGAUCCCGGGGACAGCUGGGGGGAUUCUCCUGUGGAGGAGCUUGAGGGUGUAGUCCGCAACCUGUUGAGGGGUGGCUCUUUCCUUGGCCUCUGCACCAGGAGUAACCAUACUUGGCUUGAGGAGGAUACCCUCGAACAAGACAUUGUUCUCGGCUAGGUAGAAGAAAACCUCGGCCCACACCUUCAAGGCGACUUCGAAAGUCCUUUCAAUGGUGUGUUCACCAUCAAGCAAGAUCUCUGGCUCAACAAUUGGGACCAAACCACUGUCCUAAAGAAUCAAGAAGCAAGCACUUUCUCAAUCAGAAACACAUCCUAACUAGACACAAAACAAAACCCUGCAGUCUAAGUAGCAACUUAAUAGCAAUUAGUCAAUCAUAUAUGAAAUCAACUUGCAUAGCAUAUCAGUUCUCUUACUUGUGCAAUGGAAGCGUAGCGAGCGAGACCCCAUGCUGCUUCCUUUACUGCAAGAGCUGAUGGGCCAUUGGGGAUGCUCACAACGGUACGCCUAGUUCAUCAAGUUGGUAAUUACGUUACAUUUUACUGUCAUCAAUUUACCUUAUGGAGCUAGAAUUAGUUGCCAAAAUAACAUGGGGAAUUCAGAUUUGAUCCGUACCAUUUGGCGAAACGAGCUCCCUGCUGGUAGUAGGCAGCAGUGCGAGAGGCAAGACCAUCAAGACCUUGGCACCAG
Molecule: long non-coding RNA, 7013 nt
Filed under: Malus domestica (apple)
Lineage: Eukaryota; Viridiplantae; Streptophyta; Magnoliopsida; Rosales; Rosaceae
Source: RNAcentral